AUGAACGCUGGCGGCGUGCCUAAUACAUGCCAGUCGAGCGAACAGACGAGGAGCUUGCUCCUCUGACGUUAGCGGCGGCCGGGGGAGUAACACGUGGAUAACCUACCUAUAAGACUGGGAUAACUUCGGGAAACCGGAGCUAAUACCGGAUAAUAUAUUGAACCGCAUGUUUCAAUAGUUAAAGACGGUUUUGCUGUCCCUUAUAGAUGGAUCCGCGCCGCAUUAGCUAGUUGGUAAGGUAACGGCUUACCAAGGCAACGAUGCGUAGCCGACCUGAGAGGGUGAUCGGCCACACUGGAACUGAGACACGGUCCAGACUCCUACGGGAGGCAGCAGUAGGGAAUCUUCCGCAAUGGGCGAAAGCUUGACGGAGCAACGCCGCGUGAGUGAUGAAGGUCUUCGGAUCGUAAACCUCUGUUAUUAGGGAAGAACAAAUGUGUAAGUAACUAUGCACGUCUUGACGGUACCUAAUCAGAAAGCCACGGCUAACUACGUG
Molecule: ribosomal RNA, 496 nt
Filed under: uncultured bacterium
Lineage: Bacteria
Description: partial 16S ribosomal RNA
Rfam family: Bacterial small subunit ribosomal RNA
Source: RNAcentral